RNAcentral lists this ribosomal RNA (842 nucleotides) under uncultured archaeon. RNAcentral describes it as "bacterial SSU rRNA". It matches the Rfam family "Archaeal small subunit ribosomal RNA", at positions 63 to 910 of the family's 1478-position model. The record is from RNAcentral.
UGUAGUAAUACAAGGCAGACGGCUCAGUAACGCGUAGUCAACCUAACCUAUGGACGGGGAUAACCUCGGGAAACUGAGAAUAAUACCCGAUAGAACAUUAUGCCUGGAAUGGUUUAUGUUUCAAAUAAUUUAUUGCCGUAGGAUGGGACUGCGGCCUAUCAGUUUGUUGGUGAGGUAAUGGCCCACCAAGACUAUUACAGGUACGGGCUCUGAGAGGAGUAGCCCGGAGAUGGGUACUGAGACACGGACCCAGGCCCUAUGGGGCGCAGCAGGCGAGAAAACUUUGCAAUGUGCGAAAGCACGACAAGGUUAAUCCGAGUGGUUUCUGCUAAAGGAACCUUUUGUCAGUCCUAGAAACACUGAUGAAUAAGGGGUGGGCAAGUUCUGGUGUCAGCCGCCGCGGUAAAACCAGCACCUCAAGUGGUCAGGAUGAUUAUUGGGCCUAAAGCAUCCGUAGCCUGCUUUGUUAGUUUUCGGUUAAAUCCAUACGCUCAACGUAUGGGCUGCCGGGAAUACUGCAAAGCUAGGGAGUGGGAGAGGUAGACGGUACUCGGUAGGAAGGGGUAAAAUCCUUUGAUCUAUUGAUGACCACCUGUGGCGAAGGCGGUCUACCAGAACACGUCCGACGGUGAGGGAUGAAAGCUGGGGGAGCAAACCGGAUUAGAUACCCGGGUAGUCCCAGCUGUAAACUAUGCAAACUCAGUGAUGCAUUGGCUUGAUGCCAAUGCAGUGCCGCAGGGAAGCCGUUAAGUUUGCCGCCUGGGAAGUACGUACGCAAGUAUGAAACUUAAAGGAAUUGGCGGGGGAGCACCACAAGGGGUGAAGCCUGCGGUUCAAUUGGA